AAGGAAAAUAUGACAAUUUUUCAGCAGUACGUAUUUUUUUACCCUUUGUAUUUUGUUUAUACAAUCAUAAAGUGAAUAUGAACCAGAGAUUUCUAUUAAAUAAUGUAAGCUAAAUAUUUCUAAUAAGUACAUCCUCAAUUAUAUAAAUCAAUCAAACAUGUAAUGAGUAACAAACCUUGACAUUAAUUAGUUUAGAAAGAUAUGUAUUUAACAUCAAAAUUUAUUAAAUAUAUACUUAUAUCCUUAAGUACAUAAAAUGUCAUCUUCUAUAUUCUAAUAAUUAAUUAAUUAACAUAAGUUCUACAGAUUAAAAAAUAUGAUAAAAUACUAAUUAUAAGUAGAAAAUGAAAAAGAAAAAAAUAAAAUAGAAUAAUUACAACAAAUUUAAAAUGAUACCGUAUGGUAUAAAGGAAACCAACUCAAUACGUUUUCCAGUGUUACACUACACCACGUUUAUUAUUGUGAGAUCCUCAUAAUCCUAACAAAAAUCUCAAUCUCAUCAAAACAAUACGAAAAACCCUAUCAUAAUCAUUGGUGAUGCAAGAAUAAAAUUGAAAAUUAGAGGAAACACAAAUGAAUAGAGUGACAAAAUAAACAAGUUAGAGAUGUAUAACCUUCAAAAGAUUAACCUAUAUCAGAAAUCACUUGAUCCGUACAUUUGGUAGAUAAGAAAGAAAAUUACUCAUAAAAGAUAGAAAAAAAAGGAAAAUAUGACAAUUUUUCAGCAGUCCGUAUUUUUUUACCCUUUGUAUUUUGUUUAUACAAUCAUAAACUGAUUAUGAACCAUAGAUUUCUAUUAAGUAAUGUAAGCUAAAUAUUUAUAUUAAGUACAUCCUCAAUUCUAUAAAUUAAUCAAACAUGUAAUGAGUAACAAACAUUGACAUUAAAUAAAUUAGAAAGAUAUGUAUUGAACAUCAAAAUUAAUUAAAUAUAUACUUAUAUCCUUAAGAACAUAAAAUGUCAUCUUCUAUAUUCUGAUAAUUAAACAAUUAACAUAAGUUAUACAGAUUAAAAAAUAUGCUAAAAUACUAAUUAUAAGUAGAAAAUGAAAAAGAAAAAAAGAAAAAAGAAUAAUUACAAGAAAAUGAAAAAGAAAAAAAGAAAAUAGAAUAAUUACAAGAAAAUGAAAAUGAGACCGUAUGUUAUAAAGGAAACCAACUCAAUCAUUUUUCCAGUGUUACAUUAGCACCACCUUUAUUAUUGUGAGAUCCUCAUAAUCCUAACAAACAUCUCAAUCUCAUCAAAACAAUACGAAAAACCCUAUCAUAAUCAUUGGUGAUGCAAGAAUAAAAUUUAAAAUAAGAGGAAACACAGAUGAAUAGAGUGACAAAAUAAACAAGUUAGAGAUGUGUAACCUUCAAAAGAUUAACCUAUAUCAGAAAUCAAUUGUUCCGUACAUUUGAUAGAUAAGAAAGAAAAUUACUCAUAAAAGAUAGAAAAAAAAGGAAAAUAUGACAAUUUUUCAGCAGUACGUAUUUUUUUACCCUUUUUAUUUUGUUUAUACAAUCAUAAACUGAUUAUGAACCAUAGAUUUCUAUUAAGUAAUGUAAGCUAAAUAUUUAUAUUAAGUACAUCGUCAAUUCUAUAAAUCAAUCAAACAUGUAAUGAGUAACAAACAUUAACAUUUAAUAAAUUAGAAAGAUAUGUAUUGAACAUCAAAAUUAAUUAAAUAUAUACUUAUAUCCUUAAGAACAUAAAAUGUCAUCUUCUAUAUUCUGAUAAUUAAAAAAUUAACAUAAGUUACACAGAUUAAAAAAUAUGCUAAAAUACUAAUUAUAAGUAGAAAAUGAAAAAGAAAAAAGAGAAAAGAAUAAUUACAAGAAAAUGAAAAAGAAAAAAGGAAAAUAGAACAAUUAGAAGAAAAUGAAAAUGAGACUGUAUGUAUUAAAGGAAACCAACUCAAUCAUUUUUCCAGUGUUACAUUAGCACCACCUGUAUUAUUGUGAGAUCCUCAUAAUCCUAACAAACAUCUCAAUCUCAUCAAAACAAUACGAAAAACCCUAUCAUAANUUGUAACCUCAAGAGGUCAACCUAUAUCCAAGACAUCCACCGGAUUAUCUUACCAUUUGGCUGGGUAUAAGAAUUGAAAACUUACCUCAUAAAAUAGGAAAGAAAAGAAAAAUAUGUAAUUUUUCAGUCUUAGUCGAAUUGUUUUUACCCUUUUAUUUGUAUUUUUAUACCCAAUCAUAAAUGAAUACGCUGAACCAAGAGAUUUCUAUUAAAUAAUGUUAUACCCUUAAAAAAUUUCAUUAAGUAACAUCCCCAAUUUAUCCAAAUCAAUAAAAUACAAAACAUGUAUGAGUAAAACAUUGAGAUUAAAUAGGUUUAGAAGAAGAUAUGUAUUGAACAUUAAAAAUUAAUUUAAAAUAACUAUACUUAUAUCCCUUAAAGCAAUCAUAAAAUGAAAAUCUUCCUAUAUCUGAUAAUUUAAACAAUUAACAUAAUAUAACGAUUAAAAAUAUGCUAAAAUAUAAUAUAAGCUUAGGCGGCGAGUAGAAAUGAAAAAGAAAAAAGCGCAAUAAUUUACUAAAGAAAAUGAAAAAGAAAAAAGAAAUAGAGUAAUUACAAGAAAAUGAAAUAUUGUAAGACCUGAUAUUAGAAACAACUCUCCAAUCCAUUUUUAGUGUUACUUAAGCCACCACCCGUAUUAUUGUGAGAUCUCAUAAUCCUAAACAAACAUCUCAAUCUCAUCAAAACAAUAUGAAAAACCUAUUUUAAUCAAUUGUGGUGUGCUGACGCACCCGCAUAAAGAGGAUAAACUUGAAAAAGAGAAACACAGAUGAAUAAGUCGGACAAAUAAAAUAGUAGAGAUGUUGUAACCUCAAAAGAUCAAUCCUUAUCAAGGAAAGAAAUCAGUUUAUCCUUUAACAUUUGAUAGAUUAAGAAUGAAAUUAGCAUAAAACGAUAGAAAAAACAAGAAAUUAUUACAAUGUUUCCAGCAAUACGUAUUUUUUUACCCUUUGAUGAUUUUACAAUCAUGAACUGAAUAUGAAACAGAGAUUUCUAUUAAAUAAUGUAGAGGGUGGCAAUAUUUCUGGGAAUAAGUACAUCCUCUCCUGGCGAGUGAUAAACAUGAUCAAACAUGUGAUUGUAGUUGGGCAUGGAGUAACGAAUAACCUACACAUAAUUAGUUGAGGAAAGAUAGUAUGUGGGUAACAUCAAAUAUAUUAAAUACAAUCAUACUAUGUGAAUCCUUAAUACAUAAAAUGUGACUUCGAUAGUCUCUAAUAAUAUUAAUAAACAUAAGUCUACAGAUUAAAAAUAUGAAAAAACUAAUUAUAAGUAGAAAAUGAAAAAAGAAAAAAUAAAAAUCAGAAUAAUUACAACCAAUUUAAAAUGACUACCGUUAUGCGUAUAAAGGAAACCAACUCAAUACGUUUUAUCAAACAGUGUGUUACACUACCCACGUUUUUUUGUGAGAUCCUUCAUAAUCCUUAACAAAAAUUUCUCACAUCUCCAUCAAAAAAACAAUAGAAAAAACCCUAUCAUAAUCAUUGUGAUGCAAAGAAAUAAAAUUUGAAAUUAGAGGAAACACAAAUGAUAGAGUGACAAAAUAAACAGUUAGAGAUGAUAUAACCUUCAAGAUUAACCAUUAUCAGAAUCACCUUGGGGGGGGGGGAUCCGUACAUUUGGUAGAUAGAAAAAAAUUACUCAUAAUAAGAUAGAAAAAAAGGAAAAUAUUGACAAUUUUUCAGCAUUCCGUAUUUUUUUACCCUUUGUAUUUGUUUUAUAAAUCUAAACUGCUUAAACCAUAGUAUUUCUAUAAGUAAUGUAAGCUAAAUAUUUUUAUUAUUAAGUACAUCCUCAAUUCUAUAAAUUAAUCAAACAUGUAAUGAGUAACAAAACAUUGACAUUAAAUAAAUUAAGAAAGUUUGAACAUCAAAAUUAAUUAAAUAUUACUUAUAUCCUUAAGACAUAAAAUUGUCAUCAUCUAUAUUCUGAUAUUAAAAAUUGAACAUAAGUUACACAGAUUAAAAAAAAUAUUGCUAAAAUCACUAAUUUAAGUAGAAAAUAAAAGAAAAGAAAAGAAUAAUUACAAGAAAAUGAAAAAGAAAAAGGAAAAUAGAACAAUUAGAAGAAAAUGAAAAUGCGACUUUAUGUUAUAAAGGAAACAAAAUCAAUCAUUUCAAGUGUACAUUAGACCACUUGUAUUUAUUGUGAGAUCUCAUAAUCCGAACAAACAUCGCAAUCUCAUCAAAUAAUAACGAAAAAACCCUAUCUAAUCAUUGGUGACGCCAAGAAUAAAAUGGAAAAUAAAGAGGAAACACAGAUGAAAUGGGUGACAAAAUAAAAAGGUAGAAUUGUGUAACCUUCAAAAAGGAUCAACCUAUAUCAGAAAUCACUGAUCUGUAAUUUGAUACCAUAAGAAUGAAAAAUUACUCAUAAAAGAUAGCAAAGAAAAAGAAAUAUUGACAAUUUCCAGCAGUACGUAUUCUUUUUUUUUUGUACCCUUUGUAUUUUGUUUAUACAAUCAUUAAGUGAAUCUGAACAGAGACUUCUCUAUUAAUAAUGUUAAGCAAAUAUUUUAAGUUAAGUACAUCCCCAUUCUAUACAAAAUUUCAAACAUGUAAUGAGUAAAAACAUUGAGAUUAUAUAGUUUAGAAAAGAUAUGUAUUGAACAUUCAAAAUUAAUUCGAAUUAUAUAUAUCCUUAAGAACAUAAAAUGUCCCAUCUUCUUAUAUUCUGAUAAUCAAAAACAAUUAACAUAAGUUAUACUGAUUAAAAAAUAUGCUAAAAUACUAAUUUAUAAGUAGAAAAUGAAGAAGAAAAAAAAAAGCAUAAUUACAAGAAACUGAAAAAGAAAAAAAAGAAAAUAUAAUAAUUACGAAGAAAAUGAAAAUUGAGUACUGUAUGGAUUAGGAAACCAACUCAAUCAUUUUUCCAGUGUUACAUUAGCACCACCUGUAUUAUUGUGAGAUCCUCAUAAUCCUAACAAAACAUUCUCAAUCUCAUUCAAAAAGCAAUACGAAAAAACCUUUCAUAAUCAUGGUGAGCAAUAAGUAAUUGAAAUAGAGGAAACACAGAUGAUGAAUAGGGUGACAAAUAAAAAAGGUAGAGAUGUUGUAACCUUCAAAAGAUCAAACCUAUAUCAGGAAAUCAAUUACAUUUGAUAGAUAAGAAUGAACAGAUUACUCAUAAGAUUAGAAAAAAUAAAGGAAUUAUUACAAUUUCUCUGCAGUACGUUAUUUUUUUUACCCUGUAUAUUGUUUAUACAAUCAUAAAGUGAUAUGAACCAGAGAUUUCUAUUAAAAUAAUGUAAGCUAAAUAUUUCUAUAAGUUUACAUCCUCACAUUAUAUAUAUCAAUCAACAUGGUGAAUGAGUAAACAAACCUUGACAUUAAUUAGUUUAGAAAGAUAUGUAUUUAACAUCAAAAUUAAUU
Molecule: long non-coding RNA, 5381 nt
Filed under: Lathyrus oleraceus (garden pea)
Lineage: Eukaryota; Viridiplantae; Streptophyta; Magnoliopsida; Fabales; Fabaceae
Description: Pisum sativum (pea) long non-coding RNA (PSAT_LNC040106)
Source: RNAcentral